CUCCGACAUGAGAGCGACCAGAGACAAAGAGCAGUGGAUAACAAGCUGUCCCUUGGGUAGUGUUUACAUUCAUCAGCCAUGCCAGGGGCCAGACGUCACGGACGAGGGGCAGGCAGGACGGCUGGGCUAAGAAGAACGGGACAAUCUCCAAAGAGAUAAGCAAAGAAAGGACCACAUCCUCACUCACGUGACACACAGACUCACUGGAUCGAUCCGGAGCAGAAAGAGCAGGAAGCUCCAGUGUGGCUGGUUAGAGGGCAAACACCCCCAGGAAACAAGGACAGGAUGGUACCUCCAUUGCACAUAAGCUAG
Molecule: long non-coding RNA, 312 nt
Organism: Paramormyrops kingsleyae
Lineage: Eukaryota; Metazoa; Chordata; Actinopteri; Osteoglossiformes; Mormyridae
Source: RefSeq, a predicted model, not a curated record